AAAUGGCCUAACAGUGGAAAAGAAAUUAAUUCUAUAUACAUGGAACCUUUUUCAAGUUGGAGAUGGAGCUGACAGAACUCCAAGGCUCUCCACUCUGAAGCAAGGAUUGUGAUCCCUAUUGCUCCUCGAGGUGGAACUGAUGAAAAGGGAACCUUUCUGAAUCUGGACCACUCUCCUGAUCCCACAGGAUUACAGGAUAUACAG
This is a long non-coding RNA of Pyrgilauda ruficollis (rufous-necked snowfinch), 204 nucleotides long. RefSeq lists it as uncharacterized. The record is from RefSeq and is a predicted model, not a curated record. NCBI's taxonomy places the organism in Eukaryota, Metazoa, Chordata, Aves, Passeriformes, Passeridae. The transcript is spliced from 3 exons.